GGGGGUUGUUGAAUGACUUGUUUUAUUAGGUGCUACUUCGAGUUUAGUGGUAGACCCUUUUUUAUGGGAUAAAAUUAAAUCAAAGACAUUAACCGGUGAUAUUGGACCUCGGAUCUAAAGAGGUUAUGAUCGUCAUACUCAGAAAGUCUUUUUUUUUUUCAUUUGAAAAAAAAAAAAACCUCUUGAUUUGUAAUUGAUGUUUGGAAGUCACUUGUGAAUAAUACCUUUCAAAGACAACCUAAGUCUUGCUGAGAAGGCAGGCCCUUUUUUUUUUUUUUUUUUAGACAAUUUAAGUUGAUUGAUAAGGAAGGGGUUACAACCUAAUUCCUGAAGCAGGAAAUUAACAUGGGUUAAAGAAAGCCCCAUCUUUAUUCCACCCCGGCCCAGCAGUAGUACGUAAAACCAGAUCCAACACAACCCAAGUCCUAGGACCUGAACAACCCACCUAUGAGCAGCCAAACCGACAAAGAAGCAAAGUAGCUCGCCGAAACCUGGGCUCUAGUACCAGGCAACGACCAAAGAUGCAAAUCGUCGCACUCAGUAGAAGUGAGAAGAAGCUUCCAUCAAAGGUAGAAAUUCGUGAACAACAUCAAAGCCUUUUCCCCACAAGAAAGGAACAUCUCGAGCCAAGAUAGGGCCGAAAGACAAGUUCAUCCGGGUGACAGGUAGAACUCCGUAAGUCUUUCUAUUUUGAUCAUUUGAGGAAUUGAAAGCUUUAAGUAAGCGUUGGUCACGUCUCCCGGAGAUAGCAUGCUCAUAAAUUGAACCCUGAAAAAAUAGAUCAACAAAUCCAUAGGCUAGGAACCCCCACCUCACCAGUCAUCACCCUUCGUAGCCAUAAAGCUUUAGGUAGGAGUGAAGAACAGACAUGUGAAUGAAGAACAACCUGCAAAUCA
Molecule: unclassified non-coding RNA, 896 nt
Filed under: Hevea brasiliensis (rubber tree)
Lineage: Eukaryota; Viridiplantae; Streptophyta; Magnoliopsida; Malpighiales; Euphorbiaceae
Source: RNAcentral